RNAcentral lists this ribosomal RNA (479 nucleotides) under uncultured bacterium. RNAcentral describes it as "partial 16S ribosomal RNA". It matches the Rfam family "Bacterial small subunit ribosomal RNA", at positions 28 to 507 of the family's 1533-position model. The record is from RNAcentral.
GAUGAACGCUGGCGGCGUGCUUAACACAUGCAAGUCGAACGAAGCACCUUGAUUCGAUUCUUCGGAUGAAGAUCUUGGUGACUGAGUGGCGGACGGGUGAGUAACGCGUGGGUAACCUGCCUCAUACAGGGGGAUAACAGUUAGAAAUGACUGCUAAUACCGCCUAAGACCACAGCACCGCAUGGUGCAGGGGUAAAAAGUCCGGUGGUAUGAGAUGGACACGCGUCUGAUUAGGUAGUUGGUGGGGUAACGGCCUACCAAGCCGACGAUCAGUAGCCGACCUGAGAGGGUGACCGGCCACAUUGGGACUGAGACACGGCCCAAACUCCUACGGGAGGCAGCAGUGGGGAAUAUUGCACAAUGGGGGAAACCCUGAUGCAGCGACGCCGCGUGAGCGAUGAAGUAUUGCGGUAUGUAAAGCUCUAUCAGCAGGGAAGAAAAUGACGGUACCUGACGAAGAAGCACCGGCUAAAUACGUG